GUGCACCAGGCGCGAAACCUCUACAAUGUGCGAAAGCAUGAUAGGGGGACUCCAAGUGUCUCUCUAAAGAGAGACUUUUGUAGUAUGUAAAAAGUACUACGAAUAAGGGGUGGUCAAGACUAGUGCCAGCCUCCGCGGUAACACUAGCAGCCCGAGUGGUAGUCAUUUUUAUCUGGCUUAAAGCGUCCGUAGUCUGAUUAGUAAGUUCUCUGUGAAAUCCUGUUGCUUAACAAUAGGGCUUGCAGAGAAUACUACCAAUCUUGGAGCCAGGAGGGGUUAGGGGUAUUCCGGGGGUAGCGGUGAAAUGCUAUAAUCCCCGGAGGACCACCAAUGGUGAAGGCACCUAACUGGAAUGGGCUCGACGAUGAGGGACGAAAGCUAGGGGAGCAAACCGGAUUAGAUACCCCGGUAGU
RNAcentral lists this ribosomal RNA (413 nucleotides) under uncultured microorganism. RNAcentral's name for it is "bacterial SSU rRNA". It matches the Rfam family "Archaeal small subunit ribosomal RNA", at positions 330 to 745 of the family's 1478-position model. The record is from RNAcentral.